GUCUGCGCAGGGGCGUCCGGGCGCCUCCCGGGACCCCGCUGCUGUCAAGACCACUGCGCGGGUCUGUUGGGAACCCCUGCGUGGCGCGCAAGGCACAGCGCCUCGGAGUUGUGGGGUCGCCUUCGACCUUCGGGCUCGUCUUCUUGAGGCCGGGCUGACUUCUUGAGGCUUCCUGAGCCGCCGGCGGGCCUGGGAGAAACCGGACAGUUUGUCUUGAAGAACUGGACCUUCAGGGUCUUGUGGUUACUGGCACCAUCUUUCUGAAAUGCCAGUCGGGCCUUCAUGGGAUUGUGUUGCUGACUUCAGGAAUGUUUGGACUAGGCUGGAUUGGCCAAAACAUGACAUGUUCUGAGAGCUCCUGCUAAAAACUGGACACAUCAAUUCCAUGAGAAAUGAGAAGUGGCCAUUUUCUGGCUUCCAAAGAAACAUCAGAAACAAGAGAGGAAAAAAAUGCCCAAACAAUGACGGUGCCCGUGGACUUCCCUUUGAAGCUGACAGCCCUGUUUUAAUCCAUGAGACCCCGAUCCUCGGCCUCUCUGGGGGGUUAAAACAUCGCGUCCAGAAAACCCCAGGUUAGAAUGCAGUUGUUGUGUGCA
Molecule: long non-coding RNA, 596 nt
Organism: Herpailurus yagouaroundi (jaguarundi)
Lineage: Eukaryota; Metazoa; Chordata; Mammalia; Carnivora; Felidae
Exons: 4
Source: RefSeq, a predicted model, not a curated record